GAUGAACGCUGGCGGCGUGCCUAAUACAUGCAAGUCGAGCGAACGGACGAGAAGCUCGCGUCUGUGAUGUUAGCAGCGGACGGGUGAGUAAUACGUGGAUAACCUACCUAUAUGACUGGGAUAACUGCGGGAAACCGGAGCUAAUACCGGAUGAUAUUUUGAACCGCAUGGUUCAGAAGUGAAAGACGGUCUUUCUAUCACUUAUAGAUGGAUCCGCUCUGCAUUAGCUUGAUGGUAAGGUAACGGCCUACCAAGUCAACGAUGCGUUGACGAGCUGAGCGGGUGAUAGGCCACCUGGGAGAGGGAACAGCGUCACGGGUACUACGGGACGGACCAGACGGCAAUCGGAGGCAGUGGGCGAGAGCAUGACGGAGUAGCGCCGAGCGAGAGAUGAAGGUCUCCGGAGCGUAAAGAUCUCUUAUUAGGGGAAAACCUCUGUCUAAGUAGAUGAAGAGAUCUUGACGGUACCUAAUGAGAAAGCAACGGCUAACUACGUG
Molecule: ribosomal RNA, 497 nt
Filed under: uncultured bacterium
Lineage: Bacteria
Description: partial 16S ribosomal RNA
Rfam family: Bacterial small subunit ribosomal RNA
Source: RNAcentral